UACGGAGGGUGCAAGCGUUAUCCGGAUUUACUGGGUUUAAAGGGUGCGCAGGCGGAUAUGUAAGUCAGUGGUGAAAUCUCUGGGCUUAACCCGGAAAUUGCCAUUGAUACUAUAUAUCUUGAAUGCUGUGGAGGUAAGCGGAAUAUGUCAUGUAGCGGUGAAAUGCUUAGAGAUGACAUAGAACACCUAUUGCGAAGGCAGCUUACUACGCAGAGAUUGACGCUCAUGCACGAAAGCGUGGGGAUCAAACAGGA
This 254-nucleotide ribosomal RNA is filed under the name uncultured bacterium. RNAcentral describes it as "partial 16S ribosomal RNA". It matches the Rfam family "Bacterial small subunit ribosomal RNA", at positions 524 to 777 of the family's 1533-position model. The record is from RNAcentral.